GAGCACCCUUAAUCUCCUCCAGAGUUGGUGUCUCCAAAGUUGACAUGGGUCGGAUAUGAGUCCAGAAAAAACGCUUCUUGUUAUUUGCCGUGUUGAGGGCUUAGUUUUCGUCUCAGAGGGUUAGGUUCUCCGAUUCGAGCUGGUUGAGCUUCUCGGCGCUCUGCUCCAGUUGUUUGGAAUGCUCGUCGAGCUACUCCUUCAAGCUCUGGACUUCUGAGGAGAGCUCGGGAUUCUCCACAACCUCUUCUCGAGCUCUG
Molecule: long non-coding RNA, 257 nt
Filed under: Brassica napus (rape)
Lineage: Eukaryota; Viridiplantae; Streptophyta; Magnoliopsida; Brassicales; Brassicaceae
Description: long non-coding RNA (BNAP_LNC018086)
Source: RNAcentral